AACGAACGCUGGCGGCAUGCCUAACACAUGCAAGUCGAACGAGACCUUCGGGUCUAGUGGCGCACGGGUGCGUAACGCGUGGGAACCUGCCCUUAGGUUCGGAAUAACUCCCCGAAAGGGGUGCUAAUACCGGAUAAUGUCUUCGGACCAAAGAUUUAUCGCCUUUGGAUGGGCCCGCGUUGGAUUAGCUAGUUGGUAGGGUAAAAGCCUACCAAGGCGACGAUCCAUAGCUGGUCUGAGAGGAUGAUCAGCCACACUGGGACUGAGACACGGCCCAGACUCCUACGGGAGGCAGCAGUGGGGAAUAUUGAACAAUGGGCGAAGGCCUAAUCCAGCAAUGCCGCGUGAGUGAUGAAGGCCUUAGGGUUGUAAAGCUCUUUUACCCGGGAUGAUAAUGACAGUACCGGGAGAAUAGGCUCCGGCUAACUCCGU
RNAcentral lists this ribosomal RNA (432 nucleotides) under uncultured bacterium. RNAcentral describes it as "partial 16S ribosomal RNA". It matches the Rfam family "Bacterial small subunit ribosomal RNA", at positions 29 to 506 of the family's 1533-position model. The record is from RNAcentral.